This 495-nucleotide ribosomal RNA is filed under the name uncultured bacterium. RNAcentral's name for it is "bacterial SSU rRNA". It matches the Rfam family "Bacterial small subunit ribosomal RNA", at positions 333 to 829 of the family's 1533-position model. The record is from RNAcentral.
GCCCCCCUACGGGAGGCAGCAGUGGGAUUUUUGGACAAUGGGGCAUGCUUUAUCCAGCCCGCGGCGUCAGUGAAGAAGGCUUAGGGUUGUAAAGCUCUUUCGGCGGGGACGAAACAAUCCUUUUUAAUACCACGGAAUAAUGACGGUACCCGCAGAAGAAGCACCGGAAACUACGUGCCAGCAGCCGCGGUAAUACGUAGGCGCGCGCGUUUUGGGAAUUACUGGGCGUAAAGCGUGUGUAGGCGGUUUAUAUGAGAGGUGUGAAAUCUCCGGGCUUAACCUGGGAAGUGCGCUUGUAACUGGCAGACUAGAGUGUAGAGAGGAGUGUAAAUUUCCGGGUGUAGCGGUAAAAUGUGUAUAUAUCUGGGGAAACACCGAGGGCGAAGGCAGCCCCGUGGGCUAACACUGACGCUGAGGCACGAGAGCGUGGGGAGCACACAGGAUUAUGAUACCCUGGUGUCCACGCCCUAAAAUAUGUAAACGGGUUGUGGGGGA